Dermacentor silvarum is the source of this 518-nucleotide long non-coding RNA. RefSeq lists it as uncharacterized. The transcript has 3 exons. NCBI's taxonomy places the organism in Eukaryota, Metazoa, Arthropoda, Arachnida, Ixodida, Ixodidae. The record is from RefSeq and is a predicted model, not a curated record.
CGCCACACCGCAGCGCUGUCUGUCAGCCGGUCUCGCGGGGGCGUUCACUUUGCUGCGCAAUGGUGUCGUUGGCAGUUCGGACCUCUCAUCUGCGCAACUGAAACAGGGCUCUGCAGGACUGGCGCUAUGACGGUAACUCAGUGGCUGAUGCUUCUGAUAGCCCAGGGGGCCACGGCCUUCGUGUGUCCACCGCACGUCUGCGAAAACACCACGUGCCCGCAUGUCUCAGUCGAAACCUGCCACGGUCGACUUAGCACUGAAGGCAGCUUCUGCGGGUGCUGCAUGAUCUGCGUACCCGAAUUAGAGCUUGGGCAGCCGUGCAUGUAUUUAACGUUGUUCGGUGUGCCCGCAACGUCCAAAUGUGCGAAAGGCCUCAUCUGCGAUUCUUACACCCACGUGUGCAGCCGACCUCGGUGGCACAUUACUCCUGAACAUAACAAAAACAUUCAGACAUUUUUUCGCAAAUUUAUUCAAUAAAACAACCCUGGCAUCACAGUAGCUGGCGCCUCAACUCCCUG